AUUGCACGCUGGCGGCAGGCCUAACACAUGCAAGUCGAACGAGUGGCGGACGGGUGAGUAAUGUCUGGGAAACUGCCCGAUGGAGGGGGAUAACUACUGGAAACGGUAGCUAAUACCGCAUACCAUCGGAUGUGCCCAGUGGGGAUUAGCUAGUAGGUGGGGGAACGGCUCAACUGGGCGCCGAUCCCUAGCUGGUCUGAGAGGAUGACCAGCCACACUGGAACGGGGACACGGUCCAGACUCCUACGGGAGGCAGCAGUGGGGAAGAUUGAACAAGGGGUGCAAGCCUGCUGCAGCCAUGCCGGGUGGAUGAAGAAGGCCUUCGGGUUGUAAAGUACUUUCAGCGAGGAGGCGUUACUCGCAGAAGAAGGACCGGCUAACUCCGUGCCAGCCGCCGCGGUAAUUC
RNAcentral lists this ribosomal RNA (406 nucleotides) under uncultured bacterium. Its description in RNAcentral is "partial 16S ribosomal RNA". It matches the Rfam family "Bacterial small subunit ribosomal RNA", at positions 29 to 526 of the family's 1533-position model. The record is from RNAcentral.